AAGUCGUAACAAGGUUCCCGUAGGUGAACCUGCGGAAGGAUCAUUACAGAGUUUUGCCCUAGCGGGUAGAUCUCCCACCCUUGAAUAUAUACCUUUGUUGCUUUGGCGGGCCGCGCUCAGCGCUACUGGCUUGUCUAGUACGUGCCCGCCAGAGGACCACAACUCUUGUUUUUAGUGAUGUCUGAGUACUAUAUAAUAGUUAAAA
Molecule: unclassified non-coding RNA, 205 nt
Filed under: plant metagenome
Description: partial contains small subunit ribosomal RNA and internal transcribed spacer 1
Rfam family: Eukaryotic small subunit ribosomal RNA (bases 1-46)
Source: RNAcentral